AUGGCCUCCGCGCUCAUCGCCGGCCGCCGCGCGCAGAGCCACCACUGGGGGGACAAUCGCGGCCCGCUCGCGCCCGCCCCGAGCCCUAACCCCGGCCACCGCGCCCUCCCGCCCGCCGACGGCUCGAGGGCGCAGCACCCGCUGGCCUCGCCGGGGGUUGGCUACGUCACGUUCCGGCCGUCGGGGCUCACGCACCGCGAGGCCGGCGCGCUCCGGGACCGCCUCGCCGGCGAGCUCGGCCAGGUCCGCGCCCUCCUCUCCCGCAUCGACGCGUGGCAGCAGGAGCUGGAGCUCGAGCAGCAGCGGCCGCAGCCGCCGCGGCGGGGCCAGGCGAGGGAGGACGGCCUCCCCGCGCCCCCGCCGAAGCUGCGGGCGGCGAUGCGGAAGCGGUGCGCGCAGAUCCUGUCCAAGCUGCGCAAGGACAAGCGGAGCAUCUGGUUCAACGCGCCCGUGGAGGUCGAGACCCUCGGCCUCCACGACUACCACGCCGUCAUCAAGAGCCCCAUGGACCUCGGCACCGUCAAGGCCAACCUCGCCGCCAGGAAGUACCCCUCGCACGACGCCUUCGCCACCGACGUCCGCCUCACCUUCUCCAACGCGCUGCGGUACAACCCGGCCGGCCACACCGUCCACACCUUCGCCGGCGACCUCCUCGCCUCGUUCGAGAAGAUGUACGCAGCGGCCGUCUCUUGGUUCGAGGAGGAAUGCAGGCGCCUUCCAUCACCGGUGCCGGUGCCGGUGCCGGUGCCAGUGCCAGUGCGAGCGGAACUUCCACCUCCGGUUGUCCCACUCCCAGCACAGGUCAAGCCGAGGGCGGUGAGGAUGCCGAAACCCAAGGCGAGGGAGCUGAACAAGAGGCAGAUGAGCUUGGAGGAGAAGAACAUGCUUAGGGCGGGGCUGGAGAGCUUGCCUGAAGAGAAGAUGCAUAAUGUGCUGCAGAUUGUGCGCAAGAGGAAUGUCAAUAACCCAGAGCUGCUUGGGGAUGAGAUUGAGCUGGAUAUCGACGAAAUGGACAUCGAGACGCAGUGGGAGCUUGAUCGAUUCGUCAACAACUUCAACAAGGCUCUCAAAAAGAGCCGACGAGCUGCAAUGAUAAAUGGGGACAUUGCUGAUGUCAAUAAUGCUGAUGGAGCUGGAGCUGUGAAUGGUGCUGUGCCUGUUUUGGUUGAUCAUGCUGAUGUGGAGAGUGAGAAUCCUGAGAACACUGUAGUGCCUGAGCAGGUGGAUGAGUAUGUAGAUAUUGAUGAUGAGAUGCCAACCGCAACUUACCAAUCAGUGGAGAUCGAGAAGGGCGCUGAGGCCACAAGUGUCUCUGGUGGUUCGGGAAGUGGUUCUUCAUCAUCCAGUGGUUCAGGGUCAGGGAGCUCAGGGGACAGCACCUCAGAAGCUGCCAAUGCUCGUCCUCUGGUGUAG
This 1413-nucleotide ribosomal RNA is filed under the name Triticum aestivum (bread wheat). RNAcentral describes it as "partial small subunit ribosomal RNA". The record is from RNAcentral. Lineage: Eukaryota; Viridiplantae; Streptophyta; Magnoliopsida; Poales; Poaceae.